This is a long non-coding RNA of Dalotia coriaria, 2645 nucleotides long. RefSeq lists it as uncharacterized. The record is from RefSeq and is a predicted model, not a curated record. The transcript has 4 exons. Lineage: Eukaryota; Metazoa; Arthropoda; Insecta; Coleoptera; Staphylinidae.
UGUUAAACGAAAGUGUGUAUUAUCAUUUUGAGACCUUAAGAGACCCGUAGACCCGAGCCCUUGUCGUAAUAUUCGUAAGUAGAAAUAGCUGACAGUGCACCACUAAAGGUGAAGAAGAAAAAGACAGAUCUAGGGAUCAGCAAUUCAAACAAAGCUGAACGGCCAAGACGAGAGUAGACAAACUGAGAAAAAGAUGGCGAAUGAGAAAGAGAGAGAGAGCGAGUGAUAGGCGACGCAUAGAAACUUGCAAGCCCGCCAACACAGCUGUUCCAUAAAGAGUUACUGUCGAAUAAUGCACACACAAUCAAGAGUUGACUAGUUACUUGUACGUAACAUUAGGAGUUCACAGUAAUAUUAAUCUACAAUUAUUAUUUCAAAAAUAUCUCUGACUGCUUUGCAGUAUUACAUUUAAUUUUUGAUUAGUUUUUAAUGCAUUAAUGUAGUCACUGAAUUCCAUUUUGGGAUUUAAUAUUUAUAUCUUAAUAUUUAUAUCGUUUUGUGAUACAUUUUUUAGAUUUAGUUUAGGUUGUAAGGUUUUUUAACGGAUUCACUGGUAUUGUAUUUAAAUUAAUUCGUUGUCACGUGUGGUGAUACUGUUUGCUGUUGCUGCACGUUUUGGUUAUGUUUUGCCUAACCCGCAUGGCUUCGUUUAAUUUAUGGCAAUUUACCUAUAUUAUUAUAAUUGAUAUUGUGUUUCAUCUUAAAGGGUUAUUUUAUUGAGAAUAUUUCACUUGUACAUCAGCCGUUUCUUUAUUCCUUCACAAGAGAUUGAUGCACCUUAACCAACAAACAGCGACAAACAACCGGCGUGCCGCACAAAACUGUUACUUCAAGUAACUAACUCGAGUUAACUCGAGUUGGGCGUAACUCGAACCCACACGAAUUGAAUUCCGAAUGGAACCGACAUGGAGCGAAGUUUGCCGAUCAUUUAUCACGAGCACAGCAACUGGCACGACUAACGUUAGCGAACGCAUAUUUUACAAGUCAUCGCGCUGUGUGUAACUUCGCAUCCACAUCUGAAUUAUUGCUGAAUAUUGCCGAUAUCUUGUUUAUUGAACGAAAACGAAAUGCUGAUGCUAACUGAUAGCGAAAGUUCUUCCGAUGAGUCGAUUAUAUUGAAGAAAAGGGUGCCGAAACCGCGGUCAUCUUCCUACGAAGAGUUAUUUACGGAUUCUGAAUCUAAAGGCUACGCAUCUAAAAAACGUCAACAUUGAAGAUGAAAUUUGGGGGCCCGUUACCGAAACGGGCAAUAACGUUAUAAAUCCUGGUUUGCAUUAUUUGUAGAUGUGGAUUGCAAUGAUCCAUAUUUGCUAUACAAACUGUUUAUAAACGAUAGCAUUUUGCAUCUUAUGGCUGAUGCAAUGAACAGAUAUGCAACCCAGAGACGAAUUGAAAUGAAAGAAGAUGCAGUGUCUUGUACCAGCACUGGAAAGCACAACUUGGAAUGGACAGCAGUUCAGAGGUUGUGAUUGAUGAGUCGAUGAUUGCUUGGCGAGAACGGCUUCGGUUUCGACAAUACCUUCCCGGCAAACGACAUAAAUUUGGAAUCAAAUUAUACAAACUAUAUUUCCGAACAGCUCUUACAGUAUAGAAGUAUAUGCCGGGAAAAGCGGGGUAGAUCAUUAUCACACCGACACAUUAUUUACCGACAGUUUUUACCCCAGCGUCCCAUUAGCCGAGGAAUUGCUUCGGAAAAAUACUUACUUUUGUGGUACCGUCAAUAGAAUAAGAAAGUUUUUGCCAAGGCAAGUCAAAGCAAAACAAAAACGCGGGGAAAUUUUUUGUACACAAAAUAAACAAGGAGUAAAAUUUUUGGAAUGGACCGACAAAAGAGCGGUGUACCAGCUCAUUACCAUUCCUGCAAAUUACGCGAAGAUCCAAAGGAAAACUAAAACCUGACGCAAUUAAAAGAUUAUAAUCAAGCAAAAAAAGGAGUGGACUUAUCAGAUCAACUUACAUCCUAUUAGUGUACUACUCCGAAAAGCAAUAAUGUAGUAUAAAAAGAUUGUAAUUGAAAUAAUUCGUGGCACAGCCAUUAUAAAAGCGUGGAACAAAUUUACUCAAAUUUCGAGAGAUCGUAACAGAUGGACUCCUUAGUUUACCUGAUCAAUUACAGGAGGUGCCAAAGGGAGAAAAGCAUUAUUUCGAAAAAUACUCGGCCACUACAAGAACAGCAAGGAAGCUUUGCCGCGAAUGCUAUAAACAAUUAAAUGCUAAGGGGGGAAGAAAGUUUGCGUCUCAAAAAUCGAAGCGAGUUAUAACAUUUUGUUCAGGUUGCAGCGAUAAACCCCCUUUGUGCCUUUCUUGCUUCAAAUUACUACAUAAGUUAAUAUUGUAUGCAUAUUGUACAGUAGAGUCCGUUAAUAAUGACAUCGAAAGGAAUUGACAAACAUGUCGUAAUAAGCGGACGUCAUACAAAGCGUUUUGUGAAAUGAAAAAUCUAUUAAGUAAAUAUGUACAUAUGUACUUAAGUAUUUUAAUACAAAAACAUAGUAAUUACAUAUGUAUACAUACAUAUUAAAACAACAAAAUUGCACGUAAUCAGCACAUUAUAACACAUACAAGUGUAUUUUUUAUUGUAAGUAAUCUGUAAUUUUUGUCUGCUUUUGUUUUUUCAUUUUAUUAUAAAAACAUUCUCUAAUAGA